GGGGUUGUGGCUCAGCGGUAGAGCGCUCGCCUCACACGUGAAAGACGCUGGGUUCGAUCCUCAGCACCA
This 69-nucleotide transfer RNA is filed under the name Ictidomys tridecemlineatus (thirteen-lined ground squirrel). RNAcentral describes it as "Spermophilus tridecemlineatus (thirteen-lined ground squirrel) tRNA". It matches the Rfam family "tRNA". From Rfam's summary of the family: Transfer RNA (tRNA) molecules are approximately 80 nucleotides in length. Their secondary structure includes four short double-helical elements and three loops (D, anti-codon, and T loops). Further hydrogen bonds mediate the characteristic L-shaped molecular structure. tRNAs have two regions of fundamental functional importance: the anti-codon, which is responsible for specific mRNA codon recognition, and the 3' end, to which the tRNAs corresponding amino acid is attached (by aminoacyl-tRNA synthetases). tRNAs cope with the degeneracy of the genetic code in two manners: having more than one tRNA (with a specific anti-codon) for a particular amino acid; and 'wobble' base-pairing, i.e. permitting non-standard base-pairing at the 3rd anti-codon position. The record is from Rfam by way of RNAcentral. Lineage: Eukaryota; Metazoa; Chordata; Mammalia; Rodentia; Sciuridae.